Molecule: ribosomal RNA, 2899 nt
Filed under: Klebsiella pneumoniae
Lineage: Bacteria; Pseudomonadati; Pseudomonadota; Gammaproteobacteria; Enterobacterales; Enterobacteriaceae
Description: 23S ribosomal RNA
Rfam family: Bacterial large subunit ribosomal RNA
Source: RNAcentral
UUAAGCGACUAAGCGUACACGGUGGAUGCCCUGGCAGUCAGAGGCGAUGAAGGACGUGCUAAUCUGCGAAAAGCGUCGGUAAGGUGAUAUGAACCGUUAUAGCCGGCGAUGUCCGAAUGGGGAAACCCAGUGUGAUUCGUCACACUAUCGUUAACUGAAUACAUAGGUUAACGAGGCGAACCGGGGGAACUGAAACAUCUAAGUACCCCGAGGAAAAGAAAUCAACCGAGAUUCCCCCAGUAGCGGCGAGCGAACGGGGAGCAGCCCAGAGUCUGAAUCAGCUUGUGUGUUAGUGGAACGGUCUGGAAAGUCCGACGGUACAGGGUGAUAGUCCCGUACACCAAAAUGCACAGGUUGUGAACUCGAAGAGUAGGGCGGGACACGUGGUAUCCUGUCUGAAUAUGGGGGGACCAUCCUCCAAGGCUAAAUACUCCUGACUGACCGAUAGUGAACCAGUACCGUGAGGGAAAGGCGAAAAGAACCCCGGCGAGGGGAGUGAAAAAGAACCUGAAACCGUGUACGUACAAGCAGUGGGAGCACCUUCGGGUGUGACUGCGUACCUUUUGUAUAAUGGGUCAGCGACUUAUAUUCUGUAGCAAGGUUAACCGUAUAGGGGAGCCGCAGGGAAACCGAGUCUUAACUGGGCGUUAAGUUGCAGGGUAUAGACCCGAAACCCGGUGAUCUAGCCAUGGGCAGGUUGAAGGUUGGGUAACACUAACUGGAGGACCGAACCGACUAAUGUUGAAAAAUUAGCGGAUGACUUGUGGCUGGGGGUGAAAGGCCAAUCAAACCGGGAGAUAGCUGGUUCUCCCCGAAAGCUAUUUAGGUAGCGCCUCGUGAACUCAUCUUCGGGGGUAGAGCACUGUUUCGGCUAGGGGGUCAUCCCGACUUACCAACCCGAUGCAAACUACGAAUACCGAAGAAUGUUAUCACGGGAGACACACGGCGGGUGCUAACGUCCGUCGUGAAGAGGGAAACAACCCAGACCGCCAGCUAAGGUCCCAAAGUCAUGGUUAAGUGGGAAACGAUGUGGGAAGGCACAGACAGCCAGGAUGUUGGCUUAGAAGCAGCCAUCAUUUAAAGAAAGCGUAAUAGCUCACUGGUCGAGUCGGCCUGCGCGGAAGAUGUAACGGGGCUAAACCAUGCACCGAAGCUGCGGCAGCGACACUAUGUGUUGUUGGGUAGGGGAGCGUUCUGUAAGCCUGCGAAGGUGUGCUGUGAGGCAUGCUGGAGGUAUCAGAAGUGCGAAUGCUGACAUAAGUAACGAUAAAGCGGGUGAAAAGCCCGCUCGCCGGAAGACCAAGGGUUCCUGUCCAACGUUAAUCGGGGCAGGGUGAGUCGACCCCUAAGGCGAGGCCGAAAGGCGUAGUCGAUGGGAAACAGGUUAAUAUUCCUGUACUUGGUGUUACUGCGAAGGGGGGACGGAGAAGGCUAUGUUAGCCGGGCGACGGUUGUCCCGGUUUAAGCAUGUAGGCUGAUUGUCCAGGCAAAUCCGGAUAAUCAAGGCUGAGGUGUGAUGACGAGGCACUACGGUGCUGAAGUAACAAAUGCCCUGCUUCCAGGAAAAGCCUCUAAGCAUCAGGUAACAUCAAAUCGUACCCCAAACCGACACAGGUGGUCAGGUAGAGAAUACCAAGGCGCUUGAGAGAACUCGGGUGAAGGAACUAGGCAAAAUGGUGCCGUAACUUCGGGAGAAGGCACGCUGGUGUGUAGGUGAAGUCCCUGCGGAUGGAGCUGAGACCAGUCGAAGAUACCAGCUGGCUGCAACUGUUUAUUAAAAACACAGCACUGUGCAAACACGAAAGUGGACGUAUACGGUGUGACGCCUGCCCGGUGCCGGAAGGUUAAUUGAUGGGGUUAUCCGUAAGGAGAAGCUCUUGAUCGAAGCCCCGGUAAACGGCGGCCGUAACUAUAACGGUCCUAAGGUAGCGAAAUUCCUUGUCGGGUAAGUUCCGACCUGCACGAAUGGCGUAAUGAUGGCCAGGCUGUCUCCACCCGAGACUCAGUGAAAUUGAACUCGCUGUGAAGAUGCAGUGUACCCGCGGCAAGACGGAAAGACCCCGUGAACCUUUACUAUAGCUUGACACUGAACAUUGAGCCUUGAUGUGUAGGAUAGGUGGGAGGCUUUGAAGCGUGGACGCCAGUCUGCGUGGAGCCAACCUUGAAAUACCACCCUUUAAUGUUUGAUGUUCUAACGUUGGCCCCUUACCGGGGUUGCGGACAGUGUCUGGUGGGUAGUUUGACUGGGGCGGUCUCCUCCCAAAGCGUAACGGAGGAGCACGAAGGUUAGCUAAUCCUGGUCGGACAUCAGGAGGUUAGUGCAAUGGCAUAAGCUAGCUUGACUGCGAGCGUGACGGCGCGAGCAGGUGCGAAAGCAGGUCAUAGUGAUCCGGUGGUUCUGAAUGGAAGGGCCAUCGCUCAACGGAUAAAAGGUACUCCGGGGAUAACAGGCUGAUACCGCCCAAGAGUUCAUAUCGACGGCGGUGUUUGGCACCUCGAUGUCGGCUCAUCACAUCCUGGGGCUGAAGUAGGUCCCAAGGGUAUGGCUGUUCGCCAUUUAAAGUGGUACGCGAGCUGGGUUUAGAACGUCGUGAGACAGUUCGGUCCCUAUCUGCCGUGGGCGCUGGAGAAUUGAGGGGGGCUGCUCCUAGUACGAGAGGACCGGAGUGGACGCAUCACUGGUGUUCGGGUUGUCAUGCCAAUGGCACUGCCCGGUAGCUAAAUGCGGAAGAGAUAAGUGCUGAAAGCAUCUAAGCACGAAACUUGCCCCGAGAUGAGUUCUCCCUGAGACUUUAAGUCUCCUGAAGGAACGUUGAAGACGACGACGUUGAUAGGCCGGGUGUGUAAGCGCAGCGAUGCGUUGAGCUAACCGGUACUAAUGAACCGUGAGGCUUAACCU